AGGUGAUUUUUCUGUAGAAGCAAACCUCUUUCUCAAAUGAAGGGGCGCUUGAUUCCACUGGAAUUCGAGGGGUGACGUCAUUUGGCGCAGACCCCGUGUUUGCUUAGCGGUGCAGUCAAACGGGCUCGGAGUGCAGCAGAUGGCCAAACAAUAACCAGAAGCAAAAAGCGCCGUCCUGAGAGGGACGGGAUGAAAGUUGUUGGAGGAGUCGGCAUCCAGGAGCUCCCCCUUCCGCCGCGCGCGGCCUUUUUCAUGUGCUCUUCCCCGUGGCCGCGGCCACUCGCAACCAAUAAAUCAUGGUGACAAUAAAUGCUGUGACAUCUGCCACGCAGCAUCUGAUGGCUGACAAAAGUCAUCUGUAGCCCUGAUCUGUGGAGGGAGACCACAGAAGUGAUGGGCGGCGGAGAGCCGGGGGAAGCGCGCGUGCUCCUGCAGCCGCGAUAUUGGCACGUCGGCCGGUGAAUUAGCGCAAAAUUGAAUCGCCCUCCCGUCUCUCAAUUAGUAAUGUCAGUACUGCUCAGUUUUGACCUUGACAGUUGGGCUGAUGAUCAUGAAGCCACACAUGUCAGCCGUCCCCCAAAUUAUUAUUACAGACAAUAAAAGGAAUGUUCUGUUAUUGCAAGCCUUGAUGUUUUUAUUAUACAAAUAACAAACAUUGCAGAUUUAAUCAACGUGUUUUGUUUUUUUAACAAUAAAACUGAGAAUCAAAUCAGUAGCAUUUGUUUAUUCUUGUUCCCAUCUGCAUAAUAACACCAGCCAGCGCCCGUUUUAUGUGAAUUAUGUUUUUAGCUUUUUAAAAUGAUUGCUCUCGUACCGUAGAGUUGUCCUCCUGAUGCAUGCUGGGUAGAAGCAGCAACGAGGCGUGACUCCGUGAUGAAGGGAAACGCGCGGGUGAAGGGUCACAGAUCGCAGAGAAAUGGGAGUCCGCGAGGGAUACAACGGGGAACCUUUGAGAUACAAAGUGUGACCACAUGAUGGCUUUAAAUAUCAUGUGCACAGGGACUUCAAUGUAAACGUGUCGCUUAAAGCUCCCACGGCGAUGGUUGUGUCAAAUAUUUAAAAUAACGUUGUUCCACAAAGUUGGCUUCACUGAACGUCCACAGUAGCCACUGGUCUUGUAUCAGAAUAACAUUUAUAUUUUGCUGACUGCAAUAAAUCCCCCACGUACAGCUGUGUUAUCACCGGCUUACAAAACUCCGGCGAAUUUACACGUAGUUUUGUGGAGUAGCAGUUCCGUGUCAUUACAUUCACCUCGGCGCCAUCCAUCAAUAAUGUCAAGCAUUACUGGAGCAAUUUAUUAAAAGCAUCUGUAUUCAAAAUGCUUUGCAAACCAAGAUAAAAAAAAUGCCACUUUCAUUGAGCACAGUGAUAAAUCAUGAAGGCUGUCUAAAUACAGUGUUCAUUCUGAGAGGAGAAGCUGCACAAAGUGCUUCGUUUGAAAACCCUCCCGAUACCGGGGGGGGGGGGGGGGGGAUUCAAAAACACUGCCCGGGCAAUUCUCCACCUUUUGUGGUGAUUUGCCUAAAAGCAGCUUCCCCUCUUUAACUCCAUAAGCACAUCCUACAUUAAUCAAAGAGCAAUUUUCACAGCAGCUCCGUGGCCAUGAAAGGAUGCACAGAGUGGAAAAUGGAAUCCCGCGAGGCCGUGGGACAAAAGUAGGAUGGGAUGGGCCUCUGCUGCCAGGGGACCGCUGGCUUUCGAUAUUUCUGUCUGCAUCGUGAGAGUUGGAUCCAAACAGACUGUGUCCCACGACUGGAGGAGUCCUCAACUCAAACAAACAAAGCAUUCAUUUGCAUUCAUUAAUACUAAGUGAAAGUGUUUCUGUACAAGGAUGCUAUCAGCGUGCGCUGGCUGUUUAUCACAGAGAUGAUGAUGCAAAAGUUCAUUGUUAAGAGGUUACUUCUUGAUCUUGCCACAUGUCUUUUAAAUGUAUAUUCAUGAGGACCCCUGGCACUUGAAAGCAAGCCAGCUCAUGAACCCUGCACGUAAUUCCCCCUUAAUGAAUGUAUUUAUUCAACAGCAUGUUCAAGCUCUGGUGUGCCCUCUCUUUUCAGACCGCCCUUUCUGAAGAUGUUGUUAUGUACUUAAUGGCGACGAUGCACAUUGUUUUUUAUUUAUGUUGCAGAGAUAACAACAGUGCCUAUUUGCAUUUUAGCAAGGACAGAGACAAACAUGUGACUUAAGAUAUACAUAAAUAGAGACUUUUAUUAAGUGCCAGAAAUAAAUAUGUGCAAAGGGGGAGAAAGAAACAGCUUUCUUGUGGGAAUCAGAAAUGGAGCGUGAAGCUUAUGAAACAGCAACGCCACGGGCUCAUACAAUUAUCUUUCAAUUCCCUUGGCAUGCGGUGUUAUUGUUCCAACAAUAUUUUCUGCUAAAAAAUUUCCGUGAAAUUGUCACCAAUUUACUAGAGGAUCUGUUGCGUCAGGGCCGAGCGUGUAUUGUCGUGGCGAAGCAUCGGGGGCCUCCAGUUGCCGCCACGUUUUGCCUGCUGCGACGUUUAAUAAAGCUCCUGUCGGGACAUUUGGAAUGACAGAAAGUGUGCAAUCUAAUUUUACAGGUGACAGGAAACAGUAAAAUGAAGCUCAACUCAUUGGUUCACAAGCUUUUAUUUCUUAAUGCCCUAAAGCGCCGUCUGAUGAACUAAAGUAACCCUUCAUCAACUCACCAAGUCAUCACAUUUCAUUUUAAAAUGGAUGUUAUUUAACACUAUAUUGGAUAUUGUUUAAGAUGUUAAUUUUACAAUGUUUUUUUUUUAUUAAAACUGACCUGACAACGUUUCAUUUUGCAUGCAUACACAAGCAUUGAAGCUGUAGCUUAUACAUUAUUUGAAGAUGUUCAGAUGUCAUGCUCAAACGGCCGCAGAGACCAGGUUAUAGCAGAACAGCCCAUAUCACAGUUGUAUAUAAUUCAACUUUAAUUAUAUUUAUUGUCGCAUUGAUGUGUAAAUCACAAUGUUUUAUUUCAUAUUAGUCCCCAAAUGUAGUUCUGUCCAACCUACAUCCAAUACGAUACAUACAUCACAUGGCUCCCUGAAUAGGAGCGUUGAUCACAAAUUCAUCUACUUUCCUGUCUGCUUUGCACAAGAUGCACUCGGAUGAACCGUCGCGCCGCCGUCGACUGUUUUCCCAUCAGAACCGUCUUUAUUUCUGUUUACAGCAGAGCUUCCCCCAACGCUUUGAUUGAUGCACUAAGGAAACCAUCAACGCCUCCUCCUGAACAGCGUCGCCGCUGGGUCGUUCACACGCUCCUUCUCCUCCCAGCAGAUCACCCCCCAUGUGUUGGACGACUGUCACAGCUGCCGUUGGCGCCUGUGAUGUCCAGGUUGGGAUAUUGUGUUCUCGUCCUCACCAUGCGUUUCUACCCAGUGACCAGAAAUCGCUUCUGGUCACUGGGUAGAAAGAAAGCCCACCACAGCAUGUCCCUAAAGGGGCGUUUAGAGAGGGGUGGGGGGGGGGGGGGGGGGGCAAUCAAUCUAGACGUGAAUAUGUCUUCUACCUCUCAAGGAUGGGAUCAAAGGAUAUUGUCAAAGUGGUACGACAAAAAGGUACACUUGAAGGAGUAAAAAAAAAAAAAAAAACUCAUCUCAUCAUAAGUCAUUUGGGUGAAGUUUUAACGUGUUCUUCAUGUGAUGUACAAAAAAGGACUCGCUUAGAAAUAAGAAUAAACAUUGUUGGUAAAUUAUAGAUAUGAUACAUACAGACAGCAUACGUUUAUUUUAAUAAAGGGCUACGUCGGGGAUACAAGGAUAUAUAAUGUAAACAAAACAUCUUGUUACCGGGCCGAUUGGCGGGGAGGCAGAUCGAUUGGCGAUGAAGUCAUAAUUACUGACUAAAACCCGCCCGAGUUAAUCCAUCCUUGGCAGAAGGAUGAAUGCGCUGGAUGAAAUAAGACAAUACUUCAUGAGGUGAUGCACGGCUGAUAAAGGACAUACUCAUUCAUCACGGGGGGCUUUGCUUGAUGGAUAUGCAGGCGUUGAUGUUGGGCGCAUCCAUCAAUCAGGGGAGGAGGGAGGUCAGCUUUGAAGAUCAAAGUCAAGCACCCAGCUCGACAGUACAGCGGAUCUCCAGAGGUACAGUAUGGACGUAAUCGCCUUUCAGAGGGAUGUAAGGAUAUAAUUACCUGCUUCACUCCACCUUGAAGUGUCCAUUCUGUCUCAUAAUCUCCGGGUUAACUAGACGUGGGAAUAGAUUAGGCCUUCUUGCCUUCUUGUGUAACACAACUUCAGUUUCUCAAGACUCCCCACCAGCAUUCGCCAAGUGAGCUCUCGCCGUUAUUUGCGUACCGGAAAAAACGUCGUAGCCGAAGCCGCCGAGGGAGGUGCCACGUGGAAAAUGUGUGGCUAAGAGUCAUUGUGCAUCGUGAGUGUCGCUCCCCCCCCCGCCGUCUGCCCCCCCCCUUCAGGUUAACACUGAGGUUACUCACAGCGUCAAAGUGUGAAGGUUCAGAAGGUUCACUGUAUGUGAGUGUGUUGGAAUUCAGCACCUGUUAAGGUUAAAAAAAGGAACCAGUGGUGCAUUGUCGGUUGGUGUUGUGGCUUUGCAAAGUGCUCGGCACAGGGGCGUGACUCCUAUUCUGCACGUUUGUGCUGCCUGUUUGCUUUGGAGCUAAGCUCGCAAGAAAAAACACUCUUAACUCACAGGCAAACGUGGCAGGAGACGGCUCGCUGUCACACGUGAAAAAGUCCUUUCCAUUUUAAUGUUGUUCCUGACGUUCCUUUUCUGGGUUCACAAUGGAAUACACUGAACCUUUCGAAUUAUGAAUCUCCAAGGAACCCUUUGAUGUCAGCUCCUUUUGAACCAAAUUCAAUAACCAUAAUAAAGAUGAAGGGAACAGAAGCCAUUUUUCACUGUGCUCCUUGUUAUCCAAAGCACUGUACUGCCUAUCGCACUGUAUGCUGCCCUGCUCCCCCACAGAGACUCACCGAAACGCCCCAAAGCAAAUAUUACUUCUUACAGAUGGCAAGCUAUUUCCACAGCUGCCAUAUUUGCACUGAGCUCAAAAGGUAUACAUUAGCAUGACGUCGCCAUCUUAAGAGCCCUAUUUGUCUGCUGCUGUCUAAUGCCUAGCCAGCCCGCCCCUCCUUCCUCUCGUGGAAGUCCACAUUGCAGUUCUGGAUUCCAUUAGAGAAUCCCCCCACGGACACCCGGGUCCACGCGUGUGCUGGUGGGACCGGACCGCAGAGACCACUCUCCUAUUUGCAGUUGAGCCGCCAUCCAACUCAGCCUGACAGGGGUGCUGCUUUGAUGUCACAGCACAUUUUUCCAAUUAUAUCAAAGUCACAUGAGAUUAUUUAAUUGCACAAUUAUUAACCAAAUGUUCUGAAUGUACCCAUGCUUUGGGUGUAAUGAAUGAAUUCAGCGGAGCCUAAGUGCUUAACCUAAGAUGGGGGACAGAUACGGAUCCCUGCUCUCCCUCUCGCCGUAUAAUCAAAUUACUUCAUAACCUGAGAAUAGAAUUAAUUAAAGUCAUACGCGGUAGAAUAUCUGGGUUUAAUAAAAGUUAAUGG
Molecule: long non-coding RNA, 5506 nt
Organism: Gasterosteus aculeatus aculeatus (three-spined stickleback)
Lineage: Eukaryota; Metazoa; Chordata; Actinopteri; Perciformes; Gasterosteidae
Source: Ensembl